RNAcentral lists this ribosomal RNA (472 nucleotides) under uncultured bacterium. Its description in RNAcentral is "partial 16S ribosomal RNA". It matches the Rfam family "Bacterial small subunit ribosomal RNA", at positions 29 to 507 of the family's 1533-position model. The record is from RNAcentral.
AAUGAACGCUGGCGGCGUGCCUAAUACAUGCAAGUCGAGCGAACAGACGAGGAGCUUUCUCCUCUGGCUUUAGCAGCGGACGGGUGAGUACCACGUGGAUAACCUACCUAUAAGACUGGGAUAACUUCGGGAAACCGGAGCUAAUACCGGAUGAUAUAUCGCACCUCGUGGUGCAAGAGUGAAAGACGGUAGUUUUGUCGCUUAUAGAUGGGUCCGCGUUGCAUUAGCUAGUUGGUAAGGUAAAAGCUUACCAAGGCGACGAUCCAUAGCUGGUCUGAGAGGAUGAUCAGCCACACUGGGACUGAGACACGGCCCAGACUCCUACGGGAGGCAGCAGUGGGGAAUAUUGGACAAUGGGCGAAAGCCUGAUCCAGCAAUGCCGCGUGAGUGAUGAAGGCCUUAGGGUUGUAAAGCUCUUUUACCCGGGAUGAUAAUGACAGUACCGGGAGAAUAAGCUCCGGCUAACUCCGUG